UCAAACUUGGUCAUUUAGAGGAAGUAAAAGUCGUAACAAGGUUUCCGUAGGUGAACCUGCGGAAGGAUCAUUAACAGUGCCCUGGCCUGAGCCGGUGGACUACUCCUCUGCUAACCCAUUGCCGCAAGGCGUGGGAGUAGUAAUGAGUCAACCAAUUGUGAAACUUCUACCUAUGCUUCGGCAGCGCUCUCAGCAAAAGCUGGAGGGGUAAGGCUGCCAGAAGCCCAUAUUAUAACCAGUUGAUGAAAUGUCAUGCUGUCUGAUAAACCAUUAUUUGAGAAAUCAAAUUUUUAUUAAAACUUUCAGCAACGGAUCUCUUGGUUCUCGCAUCGAUGAAGAACGCAGC
Molecule: unclassified non-coding RNA, 346 nt
Filed under: uncultured fungus
Lineage: Eukaryota; Fungi
Description: partial contains small subunit ribosomal RNA, internal transcribed spacer 1, and 5.8S ribosomal RNA
Rfam family: Eukaryotic small subunit ribosomal RNA (bases 1-73)
Source: RNAcentral